RNAcentral lists this ribosomal RNA (551 nucleotides) under Morinda citrifolia (Indian mulberry). RNAcentral's name for it is "eukaryotic LSU rRNA". The stretch from base 146 to 301 matches the Rfam family "5.8S ribosomal RNA". Lineage: Eukaryota; Viridiplantae; Streptophyta; Magnoliopsida; Gentianales; Rubiaceae. The record is from RNAcentral.
UGGCGGGCGAGGGAAACCCCGUCCAUCAGCGCACCAACCCAACUAAACUCUCGGCGCGGGAUGCGCCAAGGACUACUCAAACGGAUUGCUGGCCUCCCUGCGGUUUCCGCAGGGCGAGCUGCGCGUCUGGUCGUUUAACCAAAACGACUCUCGGCAACGGAUAUCUAGGCUCUCGCAUCGAUGAAGAACGUAGCGAAAUGCGAUACUUGGUGUGAAUUGCAGAAUCCCGUGAACCAUCGAGUUUUUGAACGCAAGUUGCGCCCGAAGCCAUUAGGCUGAGGGCACGUCUGCCUGGGCGUCACGCAUCGCGUCGCCAUCCCCCCUCCUCGCCCCGCGCGGGAAUGAGGGGGGUGACGGAUGUUGGCCUCCCGUGCCCCUAGGGGCGUGGCUGGCCUAAAUGCGAGUCCUCGGCCCGGGACGUCACGGCGAGUGGUGGUUGAACUCAUCAACUCGAGAGUCGUCGCGACGAUGCCCGACGGGGAACUCUCCGACCCUAGAGCUCUUCGCGAGCCUUCGACCGCGACCCCAGGUCAGGCGGGAUUACCCGCUGA